AGAGCGAACGCUGGCGGCAGGCCUAACACAUGCAAGUCGAGCGCCCGUAGCAAUACGGGAGCGGCAGACGGGAUAGUAACACGUGGGAACGCGCCCUUCGGUUCGGAAUAACUCAGGGAAACUUGAGCUAAUACCGGAUACGCCCUUACGGGGAAAGAUUUAUUGCCGAAGGAACGGCCCGCGUCCGAUUAGCUAGUUGGUGAGGUAAUGGCUCGCCAAGGCGACGAUCGGUAGCUGGUCUGAGAGGAUGACCAGCAUCACUGGGACUGAGACACGGUCCAGACUCCUACGGGGGGCAGCAGUGGGGAAUAUUGGACAAUGGGGGCAACCCUGAUCCAGCCAUGCCGCGUGGGUGAAGAAGGCCUUCGGGUUGUAAAGCCCUUUUGUACGGGAAGAAAAGCUCUGGGUGAAUACCCUGGAGUCAUGACGGUACCGUAAGAAUAAGCACCGGCUAACUUCGUGCCAGCAGCCGC
RNAcentral lists this ribosomal RNA (473 nucleotides) under uncultured bacterium. RNAcentral describes it as "SSU rRNA". It matches the Rfam family "Bacterial small subunit ribosomal RNA", at positions 26 to 518 of the family's 1533-position model. The record is from RNAcentral.